GUCUCAUUGGUGUAAUGGCAGCACCACAGUCUUCCAAACUGUCGGUACGGGUUCGAACCCCGUAUGGGACUCCA
This 74-nucleotide transfer RNA is filed under the name Eubacteriales bacterium. RNAcentral's name for it is "tRNA-Gly". It matches the Rfam family "tRNA". Rfam says of the family: Transfer RNA (tRNA) molecules are approximately 80 nucleotides in length. Their secondary structure includes four short double-helical elements and three loops (D, anti-codon, and T loops). The record is from RNAcentral. Lineage: Bacteria; Bacillati; Bacillota; Clostridia; Eubacteriales.